RNAcentral lists this signal recognition particle RNA (306 nucleotides) under Cebus imitator (Panamanian white-faced capuchin). Its description in RNAcentral is "Metazoan signal recognition particle RNA (ENSCCAG00000014428.1)". It matches the Rfam family "Metazoan signal recognition particle RNA". From Rfam's summary of the family: The signal recognition particle (SRP) is a universally conserved ribonucleoprotein. It is involved in the co-translational targeting of proteins to membranes. Lineage: Eukaryota; Metazoa; Chordata; Mammalia; Primates; Cebidae. The record is from RNAcentral.
GCUGGGCACAGUAGUGCAUGCCUGUAGUCCCAACUACUCAGGAGGCUGAGGCUGGAGGAUCGCUUAAGCCCAGGAGUUCUAGGCUGUAAUGCACUAUGCCGAUCAGGUGUCCACACUAAGUUCGGCAUCAAUAUGGUGACCUCCUGGGAGCAGAGGACCACCAGGUUGCCUAAGGGGUGGGGGGAGGUGAACCGGCCCAGGUCGGAAAAGGAGCAUGUAAAGACUCCUGUGCUGAUCAGUAGUGGGAUCGCGCCUGUGAAUAGCCACUGCACUCCAGCCUGGGCAACAUAGCGAGACCCCAUGUCU